AGAAUCAACGCUGGCGGCGUGCCUAACACAUGCAAGUCGAACGAGAAAGUGGAGCAAUCCAUGAGUAAAGUGGCGACCGGGUGAGUAACACGUGACUACCUACCCUUGAGUGGGGGAUAACCUCGGGAAACCGAGGCUAAUACCGCAUAAUAUCGAAAGGUCAAAGGAGUAAUCCGCUUUUGGAGGGGUCGCGGCUGAUUAGCUAGUUGGUAGGGUAAUGGCCUACCAAGGCGAAGAUCGGUAU
RNAcentral lists this ribosomal RNA (244 nucleotides) under uncultured bacterium. RNAcentral's name for it is "partial small subunit ribosomal RNA". It matches the Rfam family "Bacterial small subunit ribosomal RNA", at positions 26 to 286 of the family's 1533-position model. The record is from RNAcentral.